RNAcentral lists this ribosomal RNA (498 nucleotides) under Maladera sontica. RNAcentral's name for it is "partial 16S large subunit ribosomal RNA". It matches the Rfam family "Bacterial large subunit ribosomal RNA", at positions 1844 to 2600 of the family's 2925-position model. Lineage: Eukaryota; Metazoa; Arthropoda; Insecta; Coleoptera; Scarabaeidae. The record is from RNAcentral.
UUUAAAGUCUAAUCUGCCCUAUGAGGUUUUAAAUGGCCGCGGUAUUUUGACCGUGCAAAGGUAGCAUAAUAAUUAGUUUUUUAAUUGGAAGCUGGAAUGAAUGAUUGGACGAGAAAAUAACUGUCUCAAUUUAAUUUUUUUUUAAAAUUUUAUUUUUAAGUAAAAAAGCUUAAAUAUUGUUAAAAGACGAGAAGACCCUAUAGAGUUUUAUAAUUAGUUUAAUUUUAAAUUAUAAGAAUUAUUUUAUUAAUAUUAAUUUAAUUAUUUUGUUGGGGCGAUAGAGAAAUAUUAAUAACUUUUUUUAUUAUUAAUUCAUUAAUUUAUGAGUAAAUGAUCCAUUUUUUAUGAUUAUAAGAAUAAGUUACCUUAGGGAUAACAGCGUAAUUUUUUUUAAGAGUUCUUAUCGAAAAAAGAGAUUGCGACCUCGAUGUUGGAUUAAAAUAUAUGUUUGGUGUAGAAGCUAAAUAAUUAGGUCUGUUCGACCUUUAAAAUUUUACA